GCUGCUAUAGUAUAACGGUUAGUACACCUCGUUGUGGCCGAGGAGAUUCCAGUUCGAUUCUGGAUAGCAGCA
Molecule: transfer RNA, 72 nt
Filed under: Olpidium bornovanus
Lineage: Eukaryota; Fungi; Olpidiomycota; Olpidiomycetes; Olpidiales; Olpidiaceae
Rfam family: tRNA
About the family: Transfer RNA (tRNA) molecules are approximately 80 nucleotides in length. Their secondary structure includes four short double-helical elements and three loops (D, anti-codon, and T loops). Further hydrogen bonds mediate the characteristic L-shaped molecular structure. tRNAs have two regions of fundamental functional importance: the anti-codon, which is responsible for specific mRNA codon recognition, and the 3' end, to which the tRNAs corresponding amino acid is attached (by aminoacyl-tRNA synthetases). tRNAs cope with the degeneracy of the genetic code in two manners: having more than one tRNA (with a specific anti-codon) for a particular amino acid; and 'wobble' base-pairing, i.e. permitting non-standard base-pairing at the 3rd anti-codon position.
Source: Rfam by way of RNAcentral